Molecule: ribosomal RNA, 854 nt
Filed under: uncultured Bacillota bacterium
Lineage: Bacteria; Bacillati; Bacillota
Description: bacterial SSU rRNA
Rfam family: Bacterial small subunit ribosomal RNA
Source: RNAcentral
CAAGUCGAACGCGAAAGUCCCCUUCGGGGGGCGAGUAGAGUGGCGCACGGGUGAGUAACACGUAGGUAAUCUACCCUUUGGAUUGGGAAUAACAACCGGAAACGGUUGCUAAUACCGAAUAAUGCAGCGGCACCUAGUGGUGACAGUUGUUAAAGCGGGGGAUCGCAAGACCUCGCGUCUGAAGAGGAGCCUGCGGCGGAUUAGCUAGUUGGUAAGGUAACGGCUUACCAAGGCGAUGAUCCGUAGCCGGCCUGAGAGGGCGGUCGGCCACACUGACACUGACAUACGGGUCAGACUCCUACGGGAGGCAGCAGUCGGGAAUUUUGGGCAAUGGGCGAAAGCCUGACCCAGCAACGCCGCGUGAAGGAUGAAAUCCUUCGGGAUGUAAACUUCGCAAGAACAGGAAGAAUAAGUAAGAGCUAACAUCUCUUACGAUGACGGUACUGUUUGUAAGCUCCGGCUAACUCCGUGCCAGCAGCCGCGGUAAUACGGGGGGAGCAAGCGUUGUUCGGAUUUACUGGGCGUAAAGGGCGCGUAGGCGGCCUCCGCAAGUCGACUGUGAAAUCUCCGGGCUUAACCCGGAACGGUCAGCCGAAACUGCGGGGCUAGAGUGCAGAAGGGGCAACUGGAAUUCUCGGUGUAGCGGUGAAAUGCGUAGAUAUCGAGAGGAACACCUGCGGCGAAGGCGGGUUGCUGGGCUGACACUGACGCUGAAGCGCGAAAGCUAGGGGAGCGAACGGGAUUAGAUACCCCGGUAGUCCUAGCCUUAAACGAUGAAUGCUUGGUGUCUGGGGUUUUAUAGUCCCCGGGUGCCGUCCCUAACGCUUUAAGCAUUCCGCCUGGGGAGUACGGUC